GUUGGGUGUGGCUCAGUGGUAGAGUGCUUGCCUAGCACAUGUGAGGCACUGGGUUUGAUCCUCAGCUCCACA
This 72-nucleotide transfer RNA is filed under the name Marmota monax (woodchuck). Its description in RNAcentral is "tRNA.Ala". The record is from RNAcentral. Lineage: Eukaryota; Metazoa; Chordata; Mammalia; Rodentia; Sciuridae.